CCAAGGCGACGAUCGGUAGCCGGACUGAGAGGUUGAACGGCCACAUUGGGACUGAGACACGGCCCAGACUCCUACGGGAGGCAGCAGUGGGGAAUAUUGCACAAUGGGGGAAACCCUGAUGCAGCGACGCCGCGUGGAGGAAGAAGGUCUUCGGAUUGUAAACUCCUGUUGUUGAGGAAGAUAAUGACGGUACUCAACAAGGAAGUGACGGCUAACUACGUGCCAGCAGCCGCGGUAAAACGUAGGUCACAAGCGUUGUCCGGAAUUACUGGGUGUAAAGGGAGCGCAGGCGGGAAGACAAGUUGGAAGUGAAAUCUAUGGGCUCAACCCAUAAACUGCUUUCAAAACUGUUUUUCUUGAGUAGUGCAGAGGUAGGCGGAAUUCCCGGUGUAGCGGUGGAAUGCGUAGAUAUCGGGAGGAACACCAGUGGCGAAGGCGGCCUACUGGGCACCAACUGACGCUGAGGCUCGAAAGUGUGGGUAGCAAACAGGAUUAGAUACCCUGGUAGUCCACACCGUAAACGAUGAUUACUAGGUGUUGGAGGAUUGACCCCUUCAGUGCCGCAGUUAACACAAUAAGUAAUCCACCUGGGGAGUACGACCGCAAGGUUGAAACUCAAAGGAAUUGACGGGGGCCCGCACAAGCAGUGGAGUAUGUGGUUUAAUUCGACGCAACGCGAAGAACCUUACCAAGUCUUGACAUCCUGCGACGAUGCUGGAAACAGUAUUUUCCUUCGGGACGCAGAGACAGGUGGUGCAUGGUUGUCGUCAGCUCGUGUCGUGAGAUGUUGGGUUAAGUCCCGCAACGAGCGCAACCCUUACUGUCAGUUACUACGCAAGAGGACUCUGGCAGGACUGCCGUUGACAAAACGGAGGAAGGUGGGGAUGACGUCAAAUCAUCAUGCCCUUUAUGACUUGGGCUACACACGUACUACAAUGGCGUUAAACAAAGAGGAGCAAGACCGCGAGGUGGAGCAAAACUCAGAAACAACGUCCCAGUUCGGACUGCAGGCUGCAACUCGCCUGCACGAAGUCGGAAUUGCUAGUAAUCGUGGAUCAGCAUGCCACGGUGAAUACGUUCCCGGGCCUUGUACACACCGCCCGUCACACCAUGAGAGCCGGGGGGACCCGAAGUCGGUAGUCUAACCGCAAGGAGGACGCCGCCGAAGGUAAAACUGGUGAUUGGGGUGAAGUCGUAACAAGGUA
Molecule: ribosomal RNA, 1205 nt
Filed under: metagenome
Description: bacterial SSU rRNA
Rfam family: Bacterial small subunit ribosomal RNA
Source: RNAcentral